Molecule: transfer RNA, 76 nt
Filed under: Bacillota bacterium
Lineage: Bacteria; Bacillati; Bacillota
Also listed under: 2 other names
Description: tRNA-Ile
Rfam family: tRNA
About the family: Transfer RNA (tRNA) molecules are approximately 80 nucleotides in length.
Source: RNAcentral
GCGUCCGUAGCUCAGCGGUUAGAGCAGCCGGCUCAUAACCGGCUGGUCGCAGGUUCGAAUCCUGCCGGGCGCACCA